CUCUUGAGUCCCAAGGAAGCGACUUGGAGCCAAGCAAGAUUGGUACCUGCAACUGGUUCCCAGAUGAGGCGCAUGGGCCCCUGUGCAAAGCCGGAAGCAGCACUGGGUGCUUGGACAGAGGGAAACAGGGAAAGUGCAAACUUCAAAGCACCAAACAGCUUCUCUUAGACUGUGUCUAAACACGAGAGCAGUGUCAAGCCUGGCCCUUCUGAUGACUACUCUCCGAGCCAGCUUCAUCUCUUCAGUCAUGCCAGCGUCUCCAGGGGGGCAACCAGAGAACUGUGGGAAGAGGAAUUGUUUUCCAUCCCUCCCUGGCUCUCCUCCAAAGCAGAGCUGCCCUCUGGGGAGACUGAUGUGAGCUGAUAAGCAGUGUCUGGGGAGAAAUUCUUGGCACCGAUUCCAUGUGGCUGAGCUCUUUAAAAGGCCAAGCUCCUGGGCUUGGGGCUGUAGCAUAGCUUCGCAUGCACGAGGCCCUGGGUUUAAUUACCAGCACCGCAGGGGGAGAAAAGACAUCCAUGUUCCUGCGAGCCUCACCAAAUCUGGCCUGUCGUGAGCAAGGCCUACAGACAAGAAGGCUGAGGCCUAGGGCUUCAUAUUGCAUGUCUGAAGGACACAGAAGAUGAACAGUGAGCAAGGGUCUAAACCC
Molecule: long non-coding RNA, 646 nt
Organism: Mus musculus (house mouse)
Lineage: Eukaryota; Metazoa; Chordata; Mammalia; Rodentia; Muridae
Product: predicted gene, 35350
Exons: 3
Source: RefSeq, a predicted model, not a curated record